Lemur catta (Ring-tailed lemur) is the source of this 1747-nucleotide long non-coding RNA. RefSeq lists it as uncharacterized. The record is from RefSeq and is a predicted model, not a curated record. The transcript is spliced from 3 exons. NCBI's taxonomy places the organism in Eukaryota, Metazoa, Chordata, Mammalia, Primates, Lemuridae.
ACUGAAGCAACUCUGAGAAAGCAGCUACAGCAAGCAGCCCUAGUCCUGGAGAAAGCAAAGGGAAGAGGCUAGAGUUAUGAGAACCAAGAUGCUUGGAGGAAGGGCCUGUGGAGCUGGGGCUUGAUAACCAUACGCAAUAAGAAGAAGGAAGUCUCUCUACCAUCCUCCAGCCUUCUGCCACCUGCAGUUCCUCAAAGAAGCCCAAAGUGAGAGGCAGCUUGCAAACCUGUCCUCUUGCCCUGAUGAGUGGGUUUGACAGGUGACAAAGUGCCUGGGCCUCAGCAGCCCCUCCACACGUGUUCACCAUCACCAUAACCACCUGGACCUCCACCACCUCCAUGCCAGGCACUGCUCCAGGUUCUGGGGAUAUAGAAGGAUCAGACAGAUGGGUCUCCGCCCUCUUGGAGUAGGAAGCACACCAUCCCCAUUUCACAGAUGGGAAGGCGAGGAGCAGAGACAGCAUGUACUGGCCCAAGGUUGUACCAGCACAAAGAGGUGGACCUGAGACUCAAGCUGAGGUCUCUGCACUGCUGAGCUCCUGCCCACCCCGUCCUGGCAGCACCCUGGCAGCAGCAUGGCAUUCCAGGGACAGCCAGACCCUUCCCUCAGGGCAAGCACCACUUCGAGCCACCUGAGCAGUGCAGGUCCUUUCCAAAGCCCACUUCAAAAUGCUCUCCAGGUUUUCAUCUUCUUGGGGACUAAUUUUUCCUAUUUUGAUUUUCUCUGGUCAGAGACUGAACACUAUUCCUUUGUAUUUUCCCUCAUUCUUCCACAUUGGCUGCUUCUCUCCCACUCCCCUGCUUACCUCCAUCUCUGCCUCCUUUCUGCCCAGUCCUUCCUGCCUGGGCUUUUAUUCCUGCCCUCAGCCUCUCCUAGUUGCAUGCUCUCUUUCACCUCCACUCAGUUCUCCUGCUCUCUGCCCUGUCCCUUCCUGUCCACGGCAGCCCCCUCCCAGGCCACCUCUCCCCUGCCGCUCACCCCAGUCUCCCUGCCCUCUCCCUCCCUCCCAGGCUCCUUGGCCAGCCCCUUCCCUGCAUAAUCUUUAUCGCCUGCAUGACUGCUCAGGUUCUUUAUCCCAUCUUCCCCUCAAAGGCAUUCGCAGUUCGGCUGUUAUUCUUGUAUUAGCAUUGAACCCAUUAAAGCUAAUUUGUUUGCCCUAAUCUCCAUUUAUUUUUCCCUAGUUGAUAUUAGAUUUCCCUUUCUAUUGCUCCAGCAUGAUUUUCUCUUUGUCUUCCUAAUGGUCUACCCCCCUCUCUCUUCCUCUAUUAAUCUGGUUGGCUUCACUGUGUGGUUUCAAGGCCUUUCUCCGCCUCCCCCGGUCCUUAGAUUAACCCUGUCACCUCCCUCCCAGGAAGGGCUUCAGUGUGUGGAUUUCCAGGGAUGGAGCUGCUGCACAUGUCAAUAGACCUCCAAGCUCCCUAAGAAGAGUCCUGCUUGACAUGAGGCCCUGCCUCUUCCUGAAGUCAGUCCAGAGACCUCAGGAACACAGAGGUGCCACAGAGCGGGAGGCGAGUGGGACAAACAGGGGCUGCUCUGAGCCUGAAGGUCACCAGGCCCAAUGGUUCCCUGGGUAGGGUCGCCUUUGGGGCUCUCUCAAAGAUUUCUGGAGGCCUCUGCCAGCUUUCUGAGAUCCUAUAAAUUAUAUCAGCAGGCCAAACAGCAAAUGGAGCACUUUCUCUCUCUGGCUAAGACUGGGCACUGUUUCCCAACCAGGGGAAACACUCCUUUUCCGAAGAGAUGAAGCUCC